RNA transcript from Synchiropus splendidus (mandarinfish), 3269 nucleotides. It is a transcript of the gene named RNA exonuclease 5-like, with no coding region annotated. The transcript is spliced from 18 exons. Lineage: Eukaryota; Metazoa; Chordata; Actinopteri; Syngnathiformes; Callionymidae. The record is from RefSeq and is a predicted model, not a curated record.
UUCCUCCCGGGGAAGAUGUAAACAUGGAGCCACGAUGCUUCCGUCCUCUCUUGAAUACAUUUCACUUGAUCGCCUUAAGGUGACGCUUAUUGAUCACACCUUUCUGUUCUUUGAGAGCUGUUUCAUGGACUCAUUUUUAUUUUGAGUCGACUUUUUACGGCUUCUCAUUGUUAAUAACCUUUGCUCCAGUUCUUGUUACCGACCUGUGGAAACGUCAGCUGGAAGAUGGAGCCCUUCCCGUCUACCACUGUUAAUGGAAGGAAACGAAAGAUCAUCGAUUCUGUGGCGAGGAAACGGGCCAAGUUAGAGGGCGAAGCGACUGGCGAUGACCAGAUGUCGAAAUCCGGGCCAAGGAUCACAGUGGCGCCUGAACAGCUGCAGAGCGCCAUCACUGCCCAGGAGCUGAUGGAGCUGCUGCACUAUGCUGCGCUCGGUAAAGGUGUAGGAAUCAAACAGCCCAGUUGGUGUCGGCUGCACCGGCAGAGGAAGCUGACGGGAGUCAACGUGGUGGUGGUGGAAGGUCUGACUCAGAGCGACUUCACCAAACACUACCUGGCUAUGAAACACCUCAGGAGCAGCUACACCACGAGGGUGGCCUUCCGCCCGGGGGCCGACAGUCUGCUGAGCCAAAUCUUCAGCAGUGAAGUCACCAGGCUAAACUGCUGUCGAAAAGACGGGCAGCUGGGAAAGUUACCAAAAGCGCUGCAGAUUCAUCCGGUCAUCAUGAAGUACGGGAUAAAGACCAGAGGGCUGACGGCGUAUGUGCUGUCAGAGGAAGAGAUGGUCCGGAGACACUUCCCAGUCAAAGGGACGCCAGGAUCUGAGGACUAUGUGAGCACCAACAGCAGCGCAGCCGUCACAGACGAAAGUCCUCUGUACGGCCUGGACUGUGAAAUGUGUCUGACACAGAAGGGGAUGGAGCUGACCAGAGUGUCCCUGGUGGACGCCCGAGGAACGUGUCUGAUGGACCAACUGGUGAAGCCCAACAACCGCAUCAUCAGCUACCACACUCAGUUCUCCGGCAUCACGGCAGCCAUGUUGCGUCCGGUCACAACCAGGCUGAGGGACGUCCAGGUCAAACUGAAGUCGCUGUUGCCUGAGGACGCCGUGCUGGUGGGACACUCGCUCGACAACGACCUCAGGGCUCUGAAGAUGAUCCACCGCCAUGUGCUGGACACCUCCCUGCUGUUCACCCGAGAGCUCGGGCAGAGGUUCAAGCUGAAGGUUCUGGCUGAAGUGGUGCUCAAGAAGCCCAUUCAGACGCAGGAGCGGCUCGGACAUGACCCGGUGGAGGACGCCGUGGCGGCGCUGGAGCUGGCUCAGUACUUCAUACAGGAGGGACCUCUUCAGGUUGUAGAGCGCCACCUGGAGGAGCUGUGGGGAAUUUCUCUCGAUAAGGAUUCUGCUGAUUCACCGCCACCUUCAAGCCGAUUCGCCGACGUUCUCCAGGAUCUGGGAAUAUCCGUCUCCUUUUACGGAAAGCGUUUUUCAAACUACGCCCUGCCUCUGUCCUACCAGCACUGGCACCAAACGGACAAACAGGUUGUGUCGUCUUUCCGGAAGCAAACCAAGCCCUCGUUCCUCUCCUUCCUGCAGCUCUCGUCGUUCUCCAGCAGGGAGCGUUGUUCUGAAGACUCUUCUCAUCCGAGUGGUUCCGCCCCCGAGGAGCGCUCCAACCUCGGCGACAUGCGGGUGGUGUUCGCCGGCCCGCUGCCUUUUGGCGCCACGGAAAAAGACGUGCGCAAGCUUUUCCGAUGUUGUGGGGAAGUCCAGAUGGUGAAGAUGCUGAGGACUGCUUUAAGACUUCACGCCAUGGUGGAGUUUGUGCUGCUGGAGUCGGCGGUUCUGGCUGUGAGAUCGCUCGACGGAAUCCACCUGCAAGGACAAGCCAUGAAGGUCCAGAGGCCAGUGAUCGACACACUCCUGGAUCUUGACCUGACUCUGGACGCUUUGACCGAGGACCCCCUGAACUGCCGCCGCCUCUAUGUGGCCAGAUUGAGCAGCAGCAUGGCGAAGAGGAUUGGCUGUUCGACCAGACUGUCGCCAGAAGUCAACGGUCACGUCGGCAGGUCAGCAGCAGUCUCCACCAAGACCUCCAGGCUCACAGAGGAGACGCUCAGGGGAGCCUUCGGACACUUUGGGAGUCUGGACGUGACGCUGUUCUCAGUUGGCGGGAAACUCGAACGACACGCUUUUAUCGAGUUUGGCUGGGCGGAGGAGAAAUGCGCCGCCCUGAGAUCUUCAGAGGACCUGUGGAAGCAGCAGCUCCUGGUCUGCCCGGCCCUGACUCCGCCCCACGUGUUGGUUACCAGGACGACGGCAGAGACAGAGGAGUGCGAAGGAGACGAGUCGUGGACGUCGACACAAUCUCAGGUGAAACUCAACACGCAGUUUUGUCGUAAAGAUCACCAGAUUGUGCAAAGUGCGGCCCGGGGGCCAUAUGUGGACCAAUUUAUGCAUUUUCAUGGCCCUUUUGACGUCAGACUAAAAAUAACUGAUGUGGUUUUUCUGCCGUUUUUGUUCUCUUUUAGUCACCACAACCACUUCAGCAGUAAAUAUAGCAUGCUCUUGUUUCAAAAUACAUUCAAGGAGAACUGAAAAUAUAUUUAGAAAUAAAUUUGUUUUUAAUAUUGAAUAUCUGGUCCAUACUUAUGUUGGUUUAUAUUAAAAUUAGAUGCAAAUGAAAUGAAAUAUUUCAAUAGUUUUCUUUGCAUAUUUACACUUCUUAAUGUCGUGACAUUUAAUCUUUUUAGGUGAACUUGUAUAUACUUACAUUUUCCCGUCAUGUUUUGUAUGCUUGGCGGUCUCUUUUGAUGAUGACCCCUCACAACAGUUACAGUUUCUAAUGUGGCCCACCUCUGGUCUACACAGUGUACUUGUAAGCCUAUCCUUGUGGGGACACAAUAUUAAGGCUCAAUUUAGGGAUGAAAACUUCCAAAUAACUAGCUUAUUCUACUUGGGUUUGAGUCCUGGUUUAGGCUGUCCAUGGAUUUGGGAUGGUUCGGGUGAGGGGCUGGGGAAAGGGUUAUGGCAAUGUCCCCACAAGGAUAGAGAUUUUGCUGGGAAAGCAGAUCUCCUUCUGUGCAGUUCUGUCUUCACCCAGGGUCAAUUGCUUCUCAGGACAUCGACUCCAUGAUCAAGCUGGACAGUCGCUUGAGGAAAGUCUACAAUGCUCUCCCAGAAUGCACCUUGUCUGUUGUCAUGUUUGCCGGAUGCAGCAGCGCGGAAGGCGACGGGACCGGUUUGUGUCUACUGGAGAUCAAGAGGUG